RNAcentral lists this ribosomal RNA (1334 nucleotides) under Lacticaseibacillus casei. RNAcentral's name for it is "bacterial SSU rRNA". It matches the Rfam family "Bacterial small subunit ribosomal RNA", at positions 209 to 1533 of the family's 1533-position model. Lineage: Bacteria; Bacillati; Bacillota; Bacilli; Lactobacillales; Lactobacillaceae. The record is from RNAcentral.
AAGCUAUCGCUUUUGGAUGGACCCGCGGCGUAUUAGCUAGUUGGUGAGGUAACGGCUCACCAAGGCGAUGAUACGUAGCCGAACUGAGAGGUUGAUCGGCCACAUUGGGACUGAGACACGGCCCAAACUCCUACGGGAGGCAGCAGUAGGGAAUCUUCCACAAUGGACGCAAGUCUGAUGGAGCAACGCCGCGUGAGUGAAGAAGGCUUUCGGGUCGUAAAACUCUGUUGUUGGAGAAGAAUGGUCGGCAGAGUAACUGUUGUCGGCGUGACGGUAUCCAACCAGAAAGCCACGGCUAACUACGUGCCAGCAGCCGCGGUAAUACGUAGGUGGCAAGCGUUAUCCGGAUUUAUUGGGCGUAAAGCGAGCGCAGGCGGUUUUUUAAGUCUGAUGUGAAAGCCCUCGGCUUAACCGAGGAAGCGCAUCGGAAACUGGGAAACUUGAGUGCAGAAGAGGACAGUGGAACUCCAUGUGUAGCGGUGAAAUGCGUAGAUAUAUGGAAGAACACCAGUGGCGAAGGCGGCUGUCUGGUCUGUAACUGACGCUGAGGCUCGAAAGCAUGGGUAGCGAACAGGAUUAGAUACCCUGGUAGUCCAUGCCGUAAACGAUGAAUGCUAGGUGUUGGAGGGUUUCCGCCCUUCAGUGCCGCAGCUAACGCAUUAAGCAUUCCGCCUGGGGAGUACGACCGCAAGGUUGAAACUCAAAGGAAUUGACGGGGGCCCGCACAAGCGGUGGAGCAUGUGGUUUAAUUCGAAGCAACGCGAAGAACCUUACCAGGUCUUGACAUCUUUUGAUCACCUGAGAGAUCAGGUUUCCCCUUCGGGGGCAAAAUGACAGGUGGUGCAUGGUUGUCGUCAGCUCGUGUCGUGAGAUGUUGGGUUAAGUCCCGCAACGAGCGCAACCCUUAUGACUAGUUGCCAGCAUUGAGUUGGGCACUCUAGUAAGACUGCCGGUGACAAACCGGAGGAAGGUGGGGAUGACGUCAAAUCAUCAUGCCCCUUAUGACCUGGGCUACACACGUGCUACAAUGGAUGGUACAACGAGUUGCGAGACCGCGAGGUCAAGCUAAUCUCUUAAAGCCAUUCUCAGUUCGGACUGUAGGCUGCAACUCGCCUACACGAAGUCGGAAUCGCUAGUAAUCGCGGAUCAGCACGCCGCGGUGAAUACGUUCCCGGGCCUUGUACACACCGCCCGUCACACCAUGAGAGUUUGUAACACCCGAAGCCGGUGGCGUAACCCUUUUAGGGAGCGAGCCGUCUAAGGUGGGACAAAUGAUUAGGGUGAAGUCGUAACAAGGUAGCCGUAGGAGAACCUGCGGCUGGAUCACCUCCUUU